AGAGCGCAAACCGUUCGUGUCUCUAUUUGAGUAGGUUAAAAAAAACCUUUAUAUUUUCAUUGUAAAAUUAAAACAUUUCUUAA
RNAcentral lists this transfer RNA (83 nucleotides) under Platerodrilus sp. UPOL VP0014. RNAcentral describes it as "tRNA-Glu". The record is from RNAcentral. Lineage: Eukaryota; Metazoa; Arthropoda; Insecta; Coleoptera; Lycidae.